GAUGAAGAACGUAGCGAAAUGCGAUAAGUAAUGUGAAUUGCAGAAUUCAGUGAAUCAUCGAAUCUUUGAACGCACAUUGCGCCCCCUGGUAUUCCGGGGGGCAUGCCUGUCCGAGCGUCAUUACAACCCUCAAGCUCAGCUUGGUGUUGGGCCCCGCCGCCCCGGCGGGCCCUAAAGUCAGUGGCGGUGCCGUCCGGCUCCGAGCGUAGUAAUUCUUCUCGCUCUGGAGGUCCGGUCGUGUGCUCGCCAGCAACCCCCAAUUUUUUUCAGGUUGACCUCGGAUCAGGUAGGGAUACCCGCUGAGUUUAAGCAUAUCAAUAAGCGGAGGA
This 329-nucleotide unclassified non-coding RNA is filed under the name soil metagenome. RNAcentral describes it as "partial contains 5.8S ribosomal RNA, internal transcribed spacer 2, and large subunit ribosomal RNA". The stretch from base 1 to 120 matches the Rfam family "5.8S ribosomal RNA", at positions 35 to 154 of the family's 154-position model. The record is from RNAcentral.